Molecule: ribosomal RNA, 220 nt
Filed under: uncultured prokaryote
Description: partial 16S ribosomal RNA
Rfam family: Bacterial small subunit ribosomal RNA
Source: RNAcentral
UACGGAGGAUCCGAGCGUUAUCCGGAUUUAUUGGGUUUAAAGGGUGCGUAGGUGGCCUGUUAAGUCAGGGGUGAAAGACGGUAGCUCAACUAUCGCAGUGCCCUUGAUACUGAUGAGCUUGAAUGCAGCUGAGGUAGGCGGAAUGUGACAAGUAGCGGUGAAAUGCAUAGAUAUGUCACAGAACACCGAUUGCGAAGGCAGCUUACUAAAGUGUGAUUGA